UGCAUGUCUAAGUAUAAGCACUUUAUACUGUGAAACUGCGAAUGGCUCAUUAAAUCAGUUAUCGUUUAUUUGAUAGUACCUUACUACAUGGAUACCUGUGGUAAUUCUAGAGCUAAUACAUGCUGAAAACCUCGACUUCGGAAGGGGUGUAUUUAUUAGAUAAAAAACCAAUGCCCUUCGGGGCUCCUUGGUGAAUCAUAAUAACUUAACGAAUCGCAUGGCCUUGCGCCGGCGAUGGUUCAUUCAAAUUUCUGCCCUAUCAACUUUCGAUGGUAGGAUAGUGGCCUACCAUGGUGGCAACGGGUAACGGGGAAUUAGGGUUCGAUUCCGGAGAGGGAGCCUGAGAAACGGCUACCACAUCCAAGGAAGGCAGCAGGCGCGCAAAUUACCCAAUCCCGACACGGGGAGGUAGUGACAAUAAAUACUGAUACGGGGCUCUUUUGGGUCUCGUAAUUGGAAUGAGUACAAUCUAAAUCCCUUAACGAGGAACAAUUGGAGGGCAAGUCUGGUGCCAGCAGCCGCGGUAAUUCCAGCUCCAAUAGCGUAUAUUAAAGUUGUUGCAGUUAAAAAGCUCGUAGUUGAACCUUGGGUCUGGCUGGCCGGUCCGCCUCACCGCGAGUACUGGUCCGGCUGGACCUUUCCUUCUGGGGAAUCUCAUGGCCUUCACUGGCUGUGGGGGGAACCAGGACUUUUACUGUGAAAAAAUUAGAGUGUUCAAAGCAGGCCUUUGCUCGAAUACAUUAGCAUGGAAUAAUAGAAUAGGACGUGCGGUUCUAUUUUGUUGGUUUCUAGGACCGCCGUAAUGAUUAAUAGGGAUAGUCGGGGGCGUCAGUAUUCAGCUGUCAGAGGUGAAAUUCUUGGAUUUGCUGAAGACUAACUACUGCGAAAGCAUUCGCCAAGGAUGUUUUCAUUAAUCAGGGAACGAAAGUUAGGGGAUCGAAGACGAUCAGAUACCGUCGUAGUCUUAACCAUAAACUAUGCCGACUAGGGAUCGGACGUGUUUCUAUUAUGACCCGUUCGGCACCUUACGAGAAAUCAAAGUUUUUGGGUUCUGGGGGGAGUAUGGUCGCAAGGCUGAACCUAAGAAGAAGUGGACGGAAG
RNAcentral lists this ribosomal RNA (1101 nucleotides) under Aspergillus niger. RNAcentral's name for it is "SSU rRNA". It matches the Rfam family "Eukaryotic small subunit ribosomal RNA", at positions 52 to 1162 of the family's 1831-position model. The record is from RNAcentral. Lineage: Eukaryota; Fungi; Ascomycota; Eurotiomycetes; Eurotiales; Aspergillaceae.